UGGGGAAUAUUGGACAAUGGGGGCAACCCUGAUCCAGCGAUGCCGCGUGAGUGAAGAAGGCCUUCGGGUCGUAAAGCUCUUUAGGUUGGGAAGAAGUGCGUAUGGUGAAUAACCAUGCGUGUUGACGGUACCGACAGAAUAAGCACCGGCAAACUCUGUGCCAGCAGCCGCGGUAAUACAGAGGGUGCGAGCGUUAAUCGGAGUUACUGGGCGUAAAGGGCGCGUAGGCGGUUAUGUAUGUGUGAUGUGAAAGCCCCGGGCUUAACCUGGGAAGUGCAUCGCAAACUGCAAGACUAGAGUAUAUGAGAGGGUGGCGGAAUUUCCGGUGUAGCGGUGAAAUGCGUAGAGAUCGGAAGGAACGUCAAUGGCGAAGGCAGCCACCUGGCAUAAUACUGACGCUGAGGCGCGAAAGCGUGGGUAGCGAACAG
Molecule: ribosomal RNA, 428 nt
Filed under: uncultured bacterium
Lineage: Bacteria
Description: bacterial SSU rRNA
Rfam family: Bacterial small subunit ribosomal RNA
Source: RNAcentral